UGAAAGAUGAUCAGGUAGAUAGGCUAGGAGUGGAAGUACAGCGAUGUAUGGAGCGGACUAGUACUAAUCGGUCGAGGACUUAACCAA
Molecule: ribosomal RNA, 87 nt
Filed under: Latilactobacillus sakei
Lineage: Bacteria; Bacillati; Bacillota; Bacilli; Lactobacillales; Lactobacillaceae
Also listed under: 2 other names
Description: partial 23S ribosomal RNA
Rfam family: Bacterial large subunit ribosomal RNA
Source: RNAcentral